AGGUAACAGCUAGAAAUGGCUGCUAAUACCGCAUGAGGCCGAGACACUGGGAAGUGUUUUGGCGAAAACUCUGGUGCUUCAGGAGGGGCCUGCGGCCGAUUAGCUAGUUGGCGGGUAAGAGCCCACCAAGGCAGUGAUCGGUAGCUGGUCUGAGAGGACGAUCAGCCACACGGGAACUGAGACACGGUCCCGACUCCGUACGGGGGGCAGCAGUGAGGAAUAUUGGGCAAUGGGGCGGAAGCCUGACCCAGCAACGCCGCGUGGAGGAAGACGGCCUUCGGGUUGUAAACUCCUUUUACGGGGGAAGAGGAAGGACGGUACCCCGAGAAUAAGUCACGGCUAACUACGUGCCAGCAGCCGCGGUAAUACGUAGGUGACAAGCGUUAUCCGGAAUUACUGGGCGUAAAGCGCACGCAGGCGGCGCAUUAAGUCUGAUGUGAAAUCUCCCGGCUUAACUGGGAGGGGUCAUUGGAAACUGAUGUGCUUGAGGCGGUGAGAGGGGUGUAGAAUUCCCGGUGUAGUGG
Molecule: ribosomal RNA, 524 nt
Filed under: uncultured bacterium
Lineage: Bacteria
Description: bacterial SSU rRNA
Rfam family: Bacterial small subunit ribosomal RNA
Source: RNAcentral